GAUGAACGCUGACAGAAUGCUUAACACAUGCAAGUCGAUGGGGAAGUGGUGCUUGCACCAUGGUAACCAUGGCGGACGGGUGAGUAACGCGUAAGGAACUUGCCUGCGGGACUGGGAUAACAGCAGGAAACUGCUGAUAAUACCGGAUAAGGUCAUUAAGCUGCAUAGCUUAGUGAUGAAAGGAGACGCCUGCGGAGAGCCUUGCGUCCUAUUAGCUAGUUGGAGGGGUAACGGCCCACCAAGGCGAAGAUAGGUAGCCGGCCUGAGAGGGUGGACGGCCACAAGGGGACUGAGAUACGGCCCUUACUCCUACGGGAGGCAGCAGUGGGGAAUAUUGGACAAUGGGGGCAACCCUGAUCCAGCAAUUCUGUGUGCACGAAGACGGUUUUCGGAUUGUAAAGUGCUUUCAGCAGGGAAGAAG
Molecule: ribosomal RNA, 421 nt
Filed under: Leptotrichia sp. oral taxon 215
Lineage: Bacteria; Fusobacteriati; Fusobacteriota; Fusobacteriia; Fusobacteriales; Leptotrichiaceae
Description: bacterial SSU rRNA
Rfam family: Bacterial small subunit ribosomal RNA
Source: RNAcentral